RNAcentral lists this ribosomal RNA (461 nucleotides) under uncultured bacterium. Its description in RNAcentral is "bacterial SSU rRNA". It matches the Rfam family "Bacterial small subunit ribosomal RNA", at positions 355 to 796 of the family's 1533-position model. The record is from RNAcentral.
UGGGGAAUCUUGCGCAAUGGCCGUAAGGCUGACGCAGCGACGCCGCGUGCGGGAGGAAGGGCUUCGGCUCGUAAACCGCUGUUGCCCGGGACGAACGGCUUCUUUCGAGGAGCGUGACGGUACCGGGUGAGGAAGCACCGGCUAACUCCGUGCCAGCAGCCGCGGUAAUACGGAGGGUGCGAGCGUUGUCCGGAAUCACUGGGCGUAAAGGGCGCGUAGGCGGCCUGGUAAGGUGGUGGUGAAAGCCCGGGGCUCAACCCCGGGUCUGCCAUGACGACUGCCAGGCUGGAGCCCACUAGGGGCAGGCGGAAUUCCGGGUGUAGCGGUGGAAUGCGUAGAGAUCCGGAAGAACACCGGUGGCGAAGGCGGCCUGCUGGGGUGGAAGACGAUCGCAAGAUCGUUGGCUGACGCUGAGGCGCGACAGCGUGGGGAGCAAACAGGAUUAGAUACCCCGGUAGUCC